Molecule: non-coding RNA, 2314 nt
Organism: Monodelphis domestica (gray short-tailed opossum)
Lineage: Eukaryota; Metazoa; Chordata; Mammalia; Didelphimorphia; Didelphidae
Source: RefSeq, a predicted model, not a curated record
UUCUCGGACAUCUUUAUUGACUAGGAAGUUUUCAUUGUAUUGAGCAGGAUGUUUAGCCUUGUAAAUUCUUUCUUUCUACAUGAUAAUCUCUAAGGUAUUCGAAGAAAGCAGAAUCUCCUUCUCUAUGCUAAGUAAAGCUAUUUAAUUACAUGGUGUAACUCCAAACCUUAUGAUAGCAUAUUUAUCCCUAAGGUCAGCUCUGUUCAUGUUUUUUGUUUCCUUUUCAUGAAUAACUAUUAAAAAGGACAGUUGCAGAGGGCAAUGGCUAAAGGACUGCACUUGAUGUCAUGAAGAUCUUGCUUCAGGUCUCAUGUCUGACAACUACUGGCUGGGUGACCUUGGCUCAUUUUACAGAUGGGGAAACUAAGGAAACAGGGUUAAGUGACAGAGCUAGUAACUGAGGCUGGAUUUGAGACUUGCUUACUGUUCAUAUUACUUGGUUAACUCUGCCAGUCUACGACUGUAUCAUUCUCUUCACAUACAGAGAAAAAUGGAGACACCAAUGAAACCAUGCCAAACAUAUAGCAGCUGCUCUGUAAUUACUAGUCUAAUUGAAAAGGUCCAAAUUAUAUUUGGAACCAGAAUCUUUUCAUUCAAGUCACACAAUAUUUAGGAAAUGCCUACUAUGUACAAAACCCUGGGGACAAAGAAUGAUGAUAAAAAAGCAACACAAUUCCAUCCUCAAGUUGCUUAGAGUCUAAUGGAUGCUCAUGUGGUUUGCUGACAGAAAGGAGAAAAGUGGGAAAGAAAAGGGGCAGGGGAGAAUAUGAGACUGAAAGAUCCCAAGACCCUUCUUGGAAGGGAUACUAUUUGAACUGGGUCUUGAAGGAAGAAAAGGAUUUCCAAGUAUGAAUGUGGAUGGAUAGUAUGAAGGUGAGGCUACACAAAUAUUCAGAAGAGGGAGAAGACAAGAUUGGGAUGUACUUUGGCUUCAUGAAGGAAUUCAUGAAAGGAACUGACCACAGUAUGCUGGAAGAGUAUGAUUUAGCUAGAUCAUAUAUAAAAAGCUUUAAAUAGCAAGCUUUAGAAUCUGGGUCUAUUUAUUCCUCAUUCCAAUUAUCCUUUCUGUCCCUCCUAACAUUCCUUGGACUGGAAAGCUGUCUUAUACAAAGGAUUCUCUGCUAUACCACUCUUUGUUCUCCUAACAGCUAAAGGAUAAUCUCUUUUGUUGGGUCAUCUUUCUUCCUCUGAUUCUGCUUGGCACAGGAUGCUACAUACAUUAGGUAUUUUAUAAAUAUCUGUUGAGUCUCUCAUAGGCAAUAGAUAGUUUCUGAAAGAGGAAGUGGCAUGAUAUAUUAUGAUUAUUACUUGGCAGCUAUGUAAUGAAUAGAAAAAUGAAUUAGAGACUGGAGAAAAGAAGGGAGAAAAGUUAGAAGACUAUUAUGAUAGUCCAGGUGAGGGUCUAAACUGUAUUUAUUUGGAAGUUAUCAGGUAAUGAUGAUAAUUAUGCCAUGUAAGCUGCCAAGGAAGAGUACAGAAGAAAAAAAAGUCACCAAGUUUUGAAGAACAAAUUCACUUGGAAUUUGGAAGGAGGAAAAGUAACUAGCAAAGUAGACCAAUAAAGAGAUAUUUAACUAUGUUAUUGAUUUAGUUAAUAAGUUUUUUACUUAUUUAGUUAAGUGAUAAUAUAUGAGUAGGAUAAAAAUCAUGCAAAAGGAAGAGCAUAGAAACCAUGAGAGUAGAAUGUCCAUGAGGGGAGGCUGAUCAAGAAUAUAACAUGCUUCCAAGUUUCUAAGAAAAUUCCAAAUUUCUAAGAAAGGUGAAGACUGAUUGAAGGUCAUUAAAUUUAACAAUAAAGAAGUAACUUGAAAUGCAGGAGGAAGUAGUAUCAGCUGCCCGGUGAGGACAAAACUCAAUCUACAAGGGAUUAAGAGUAGCAAGAAAAUGGAGAUAGGGAUUAUAGACUCUCUUUUAUAAUUUAUCAACUAAAAAAGAAAGGACAUUGUGUAACAAUUUUGGGGGAAAGUGGGAAUCAAGGAAAGCAUUUUUUUCCAGAUUAGAGGUAACCUCACUAUAUUUCUAAGCAGAAAGCUAGGAACCAGUAGUGAAGGGGGAAAAGAUUAAAGAUGCAAAAGAGAAAUGAUGAAUGGAGCAAAGUGCAAGAAACACAAGUAAGGACAUAAUAAAAGAAAUAUCAGUGAUCUGCUUGCCCUCUGAGAUGGGAAGGAUGUGAAGAUGGAUGGAUGAAAGCAAAGGGAGAUAAUGUUGUGUUCUGCACAAGAGAUGCACAAGUUCACAGAUGGCCCUCCUAUCAUUAAAGCUGAAGUAAUCAAGUAUCCAGGAGGUGGUUGGGAGUGGAGUCAGAGGCUGGAGG